AAUUAAUUACCUAGGCUAAACUCAAAUUAGAGACUAAAGUUAAACUCUUAACUAGUGUAACAUGUACUUCUCUCAGUUUUGCUUAUAAUUCAUUGAAUUUGUCCUUUAUAAAAUUUGAAUACAUAAUUUCCCUUUAGAAUGCCUUGUAUGGAUGAGAGAAGCACUCACUCUAUAGAAAUGCUUGUUAGGAUGAAUAUUAAAACACUAACAUUUGCAUAUACAUUCCCAAUAAAACUUUUGUUCCUAAACUUGAACCUUGAUUUGAUAAUCUCAAUUAAUUACUUUAAUAAAAUUGGAAUGCUGAAGUCUGUCAGUUUUGUGGACCCUGAUAACAUCUUUGGAAACCAGUGGCCUCUGAUAAGGAAGGGACAGCAAACUGUAGACAUAUGUUAUAUUAAGUUGCCCUCACUUGUCAGGUCUUGGAAACACACUUAUUUUAUUGCAGAUGCCUCUAGGAUACCACGUUACAUAUUGACUAGGCAUACUUAUUAUCCUAUUUUAUUUUAGUUAUUUCACAGUGCGCAGCCUAUGCAAACAAUGUCUAGGUCCCAACUUCAGCUUGUACAUCCUCUAAGAGCCAGCAUUAAUACUGUUUUAUCUAUCAAAACUAUAUAUAAAGUAUUAAAAACAUGAACCAUCUGUGUAUUAGGCUGAGGUUGUUGGGUGUGGGUAUAGCUUGAAAGUUGUGGUUGGUAUUGAGGAACCUGCCAGAGUGGGAGUCCUUGAAUGCCAGCUGGGCCAGGUUCUCCCCUAGCACCGGGUUCUCCUUUGUCUCCUUGAGCACCAGGUUCACCAUUGUUACCCUUAGGUCCAGGGGAACCUUUGGGGCCCUGAGGUCCAGGAGCACCAGGGAAGCCAGGGACACCAUCAAUACCAGUGGGGCCAGCUUGACCAGGAGAACCGGGUUCACCACAAGCACCUUGGGGUGAAUCCCUGCUAUCCACAAUUAAAACAGUGCUGAAGUUACCACCUCUACAAAAGUUAGAAACUUUGACCAAAUCCUCUACCUUUGCCUUUAAAACUUUUCUGAUUCAAUCUCCUAUCACCUCCCAAAUUUCUUUGUCUCGCCUGCUUAGGAUCACAGUCCUUGUGACUGCUACAACAUACCUUUUCCUUCUUUCUUUCUAUCAAAACAACCUGCUGUAUCUUUCUCGUGAAUCUUCCCAAGAAAUUCAUUUGGGGUCAAAAAGGGCCAGUCACAGACCAGCAAGGAACAAAAGUGAACAAGGAGGAAGCAUAUUCCAUAUGCAGGUCGGGAUUAC
Molecule: non-coding RNA, 1262 nt
Organism: Pelobates cultripes (western spadefoot toad)
Lineage: Eukaryota; Metazoa; Chordata; Amphibia; Anura; Pelobatidae
Source: the annotation of a GenBank genome assembly